UACGUAGGGGGCGAGCGUUGUCCGAAUUCACUGGGCGUAAAGCGCGCGUAGGCGGGUUAUUAAGUUGGAGGUGAAAUCCCGGGGCUCAACCCCGGAACUGCCCCCAAAACUGGUAGCCUUGAGGUAUGGAGAGGGAAGUGGAAUUCCAGGUGUAGCGGUGAAAUGCGUAGAUAUCUGGAGGAACACCCGUGGCGAAGGCGGCUUCCUGGUCAUAUCCUGACGCUGAGGUGCGAAAGCUAGGGGAGCGAACGGGAUUAGAUACCCCGGUAGUCCUAGCCGUAAACGAUGGAUACUAGGUGUUAGAGGUAUCGACCCCUCUAGUGCCGCAGCUAACGCAUUAAGUAUCCCGCCUGGGGAGUACGACCGCAAGGUUGAA
RNAcentral lists this ribosomal RNA (376 nucleotides) under uncultured bacterium. Its description in RNAcentral is "bacterial SSU rRNA". It matches the Rfam family "Bacterial small subunit ribosomal RNA", at positions 524 to 898 of the family's 1533-position model. The record is from RNAcentral.